UGGGGAAUAUUGGGCAAUGGGCGCAAGCCUGACCCAGCCACGCCGCGUGAGCGAUGAAGGCCUUCGGGUUGUAAGGCUCUGUGGGAAGGGGCGAAAAACCGCAAAGCGAAUAGCGAGCGGGUUGACGGUACCUUCUUAGCAAGCACCGGCUAACUCUGUGCCAGCAGCCGCGGUAAGACAGAGGGUGCAAACGUUGCUCGGAUUUACUGGGCGUAAAGCGCGUGUAGGCGGGGAACUAAGUCGGGUGUGAAAUCCCUGGGCUCAACCUAGGAACUGCAUCCGAAACUGGUUUUCUAGAGUGAUGGAGAGGAAAGCGGAAUUCCCGGUGUAGAGGUGAAAUUCGUAGAUAUCGGGAGGAACACCAGUGGCGAAGGCGGCUUUCUGGACAUUUACUGACGCUGAGACGCGAAAGCGUGGGGAGCAAACAGG
RNAcentral lists this ribosomal RNA (429 nucleotides) under uncultured bacterium. Its description in RNAcentral is "bacterial SSU rRNA". It matches the Rfam family "Bacterial small subunit ribosomal RNA", at positions 355 to 776 of the family's 1533-position model. The record is from RNAcentral.